CGGCUCUCUGGACCAAUACUGACGCUGAGGUGCGAAAGCGUGGGUAGCAAACGGGAUUAGAUACCCCGGUAGUCCACGCCGUAAACGAUGUCAACUAACUGUUGGGCGGGUUUCCGCUUAGUGGUGCAGCUAACGCAAUAAGUUGACCGCCUGGGGAGUACGGCCGCAAGGCUAAAACUCAAAUGAAUUGACGGGGGCCCGCACAAGCGGUGGAGCAUGUGGUUUAAUUCGAUGCAACGCGAAGAACCUUACCUACCCUUGACAUACAGAGAACUUUCCAGAGAUGGAUUGGUGCCUUCGGGAACUCUGAUACAGGUGCUGCAUGGCUGUCGCCAGCUCGUGUCGUGAGAUGUUGGGUUAAGUCCCGUAACGAGCGCAACCCUUAUCCUUAGUUGCCACCAUUUAGUUGGGCACUCUAAGGAGACUGCCGGUGAUAAACCGGAGGAAGGUGGGGACGACGUCAAGUCAUCAUGGCCCUUAUGGGUAGGGCUACACACGUGCUACAAUGGCCGGUACAGAGGGCUGCUAACUUGCGAGAGUACGCUAAUCCCUUAAAGCCGGUCCUAGUCCGGAUUGCAGUCUGCAACUCGACUGCAUGAAGCUGGAAUCGCUAGUAAUCGCGGAUCAGAAUGCCGCGGUGAAUUCGUUCCCGGGCCUUGUACACACCGCCCGUCACACCAUGGGAGUGGGUUGCAAAAGAAGUGGGUAGGCUAACCUUCGGGAGGCCGCUCACCACUUUGUGAUUCAUGACUGGGGUGAAGUCGUAACAAGGUAACCGUAAAGGG
Molecule: ribosomal RNA, 785 nt
Filed under: uncultured bacterium
Lineage: Bacteria
Description: bacterial SSU rRNA
Rfam family: Bacterial small subunit ribosomal RNA
Source: RNAcentral